Molecule: ribosomal RNA, 437 nt
Filed under: uncultured Clostridium sp.
Lineage: Bacteria; Bacillati; Bacillota; Clostridia; Eubacteriales; Clostridiaceae
Description: partial 16S ribosomal RNA
Rfam family: Bacterial small subunit ribosomal RNA
Source: RNAcentral
ACGGAAGGCAGCAGUGGGGGAUAUUGCACAAUGGAGGAAACUCUGAUGCAGCAACGCCGCGUGAAGGAAGAAGGUCUUCGGAUUGUAAACUUCUGUUCUUGGUGAAGAAACAAAUGACGGUAGCCAAGGGGAAAGCCACGGCUAACUACGUGCCAGCAGCCGCGGUAAUACGUAGGUGGCGAGCGUUGUCCGGAAUUACUGGGUGUAAAGGGUGCGUAGGCGGGACUGCAAGUUGGAUGUGAAAUCCCGGAGCUUAACUCCGGAACUGCAUCCAAAACUGUGGUUCUUGAGUGAAGUAGAGGUAGGCGGAAUUCCGAGUGUAGCGGUGAAAUGCGUAGAUAUUCGGAGGAACACCAGUGGCGAAGGCGGCCUACUGGGCUUUAACUGACGCUGAGGCACGAAAGCGUGGGGAGCAAACAGGAUUAGAUACCCUGGUA